Molecule: ribosomal RNA, 2110 nt
Filed under: Candidatus Gottesmanbacteria bacterium RIFCSPLOWO2_01_FULL_42_10
Lineage: Bacteria; Candidatus Gottesmaniibacteriota
Description: partial 23S ribosomal RNA
Rfam family: Bacterial large subunit ribosomal RNA
Source: RNAcentral
AGGGUCGAAAGACGGUCUUAGUGAUCCCCGCAUGCGCAGUGGUUGCGCGGCGGGCUUAACGGAUAAAAGCUACCCCGGGGAUAACAGGCUGAUCGCAUCCGAGCGUCCACAGCGACGAUGCGGUUUGGCACCUCGAUGUCGGCUCUCUGCAAUGUGCAGAGUGGGCCCCUUAUCUAGUAAUAGGUGAGGUAAAUUUAGCUCAUAACGGUGGAGCCCUUAAUACGCACUUCUUUGCUAUAAUAGCUGUGUAUGGGUAAUACCGUGGGAAGUCGAGGAGUUUUAACAAGUAAACAAAAGGAAAUAAUAAUUGGAACUUUAUUGGGAGAUGGUCAUUUGGAGAAAAACGGGAAACAUACUCGUUUGCGCGUAGAUCAUUACAACAAACAUAAAAAGUAUGUUUUUUGGUUAGCAAAAGAACUGAUUCCUUUCUCUUUGAAACCUCGUGCAAUUAACGAGACGGAUAAAAGAAGCGGAAAAGUAUAUUCUAGAUGGCAUAUCUCAACCAAAAGUCUUCAGCUAUUUGAUGAGUUUCGAGCGUUAUUUUAUAGAGGAAGGAUAAAAAUAGUUCCUCGUAAUCUUGAAGCACUUAUUACCCCUUUGUCACUUGCGAUUUGGUAUAUGGAUGACGGUUUUCGAAGGAAAGAUUCCAAGGGAUUUUAUCUUUGCACCUCAUCGUAUACCCAGGAAGAACACAAAGUAUUACAAGAAGUAUUGUUUAAACGUUUUAUGAUACUUACGAAGGUUCAUCAUCAACGUGAGUAUUUAAGAAUGUUUAUACCUUCAGCUUCUGCAAAUACUUUUAAUGGUUUAAUUAAGCCAUAUGUUCUCCCAGAUUUAAACUAUAAACUCCUUUGACCCCGUAACGACUCUCCAAUUUACAAUAUUGGAGGAUCCCGAUUUGAUCGGGAUAACACGCUAAGCUCCCGACCUCUAUUUGAUUAAAGGUCGUCGGGAUGAUGGUAUAGUCUAACCCUCAUGGAAACAUGAGAUAAGUUGCAUCCUAUCCUGGGGGUGGAGAAGCUCCCAAGGGUCCGGCUGUUCGCCGGUUAAAAGGGUACGCGAGCUGGGUUCAGAACGUCGUAAUUGUUUAUUGCGACCUUCAGUGGUAACAUUGAAGUUAAAUUUGGCUAAUAACGGUGGAACCCUCCUUUCUUGACUGAACGGAAGAGGGUAAUACCGUGGGAAGACGAAGUAUUGUGGUUGAAAAAACAAGAGCAUAUAUUGCUGGUUUUCUUGAUGGAGAUGGGUCUAUUUUUCUUCAAUUAAUAAGAAGAAAAGACUAUGUAUUUGGAUUUCAAAUACGCGCAAGUUUAGUAUUUUAUCAAAAGAAAUCACAGAAAAAAAUUCUUAGAUGGUUGAUACAUAAACUACGCAGCGGUUACAUCCGCGACAGAAAUGAUGGAAUGUGUGAAUACACGAUAGUAGGAUUAGGAAAUGUAAAGAAAGCCUUAGAGGAAGUAGAACCAUACCUUAUUCUUAAAAGAAAACAAGCAAAAUUAGCUUUGCGAAUUAUUUCGCGAUUAGAAGGAACGACGAGAACAUCAGGUUUUCUUCUUCGGAUCGCAAAAGAAGUAGAUAAGUUUGCAGAGCUUAACUAUUCAAAGAAACGUGUUAAUGAUACAAACACAUUAAGAAAAUUUUUUCAACAAAAUGCUUCUGUCCCCGUAUCGACUGAUUCCUGAUUUUUCAGGAUGAGAUAGCUAGACCUAUAAUUUAGGAUGCUAUCAUACGCCAACUCCUUCAUGGUGAAGGAAGAAGAUAUAGUCAGUACUUCUAGAAAUAGAAGAAUGCAAAGAACAGAAACUUUGCUAGGAUAAAUAUCCUAUAAUACGAAGACAGUUCGGUCUCUAUCCUGUGUGUGCGUUGGAUAUUUGAGGGGAGUCGCCCGUAGUACGAGAGGACCCGGGUGAACGAAUCCCUGGUGUGCCAGUUGUCGGAAUUUCCGGCAUCGCUGGGUAGCCACAUUCGGACGGGAUAAGCGCUGAAAGCAUCUCAAGCGCCAAGCCCACCCCAAGAUGAGAUAUCCUUAUAAACCCCUAGUAGACUACUAGGUUAAUAGGCUGGAGGUGAAAGACCCGUAAGGGUUUAAGCUGACCAGUACUAAUCGGUU